RNAcentral lists this ribosomal RNA (373 nucleotides) under uncultured organism. RNAcentral describes it as "partial 16S ribosomal RNA". It matches the Rfam family "Bacterial small subunit ribosomal RNA", at positions 527 to 896 of the family's 1533-position model. The record is from RNAcentral.
GGAGGGUGCAAACGUUGUUCGGAAUCACUGGGCGUAAAGGGCGCGCAGGCGGACCUGUAAGUCAGGAGUGAAAACUCGGGGGCUCAACUCCGAGCCUGCUUCCGAAACUGCAAGUCUUGAGGGCCGGAGAGGAGAGUGGAAUUCCUAGUGUAGCGGUGGAAUGCGUAGAUAUUAGGAAGAACACCAGUGGCGAAGGCGACUCUCUGGACGGUUCCUGACGCUGAGGCGCGAAAGCUAGGGGAGCAAACAGGAUUAGAUACCCUGGUAGUCCUAGCCGUAAACGAUGAGUGCUAGGUGGUGGUGGUUUCAACGCCUUCACUGCCGGAGCUAACGCAUUAAGCACUCCGCCUGGGGAGUACGGCCGCAAAGGUUG